UCGUUCACAUUGAUGCCCUGGAACCUUCUCAAGUUUCCUUGGACAAGAGUAAGGAACAUCAGUGCUACACUGAGUACAUAUGCGACACACUAGAUGACCACCAGACGAAAAUUCCGGAUGAUCACUAUGAUGUCGUCGUCAUGAGUGGAGCUUUUGGUAUUCCUGGUCAUGUGACCGAUGCGUGCUUCCCAGAGCUCAUUCGAAUUACAAAACCAGGUGGUCACAUCAUGUUCACAAUGAGCACCAAGGUAGCGGAGGAGUGGAGUGACAAGUUAGAGGGCGCAAUUCAGGCACAUGCCCAGCAAGGAUCAUGGGAAGUUGUUGAUUAUCGUUGGAUCAUAUAUCUUCAACAUGAUACUGUUAGUGAAAAAGCAAAAGUGCCGAUUCUCAGGCUUCUAUAAAUGUCGACUACCCCCGGAAAAAAAGAGAGUAUAUUAUAUGAAUUUUUUUUUUCAUUCAUAGAGUUUUUGAGUAAAUUUAAAAGUAUGUUUAGAUGGUUCAAGAAAUGAUAGACUUGAUAGCAAUGUAUAUGUACUGAAUGUUGGAAUGAAGUUAACUACCAGCCAGUUGCAUUUUGGCUGUUCCUGCAAACAACAGCUGUGCUAUGCAUUUAUCUUCUGUCAUCAUUUUGCAAUGCCACCGAAUUCUUUUGAAAACCGGUUUAUUUUGAGAUGGAUUGUAUACAAGGUCUUGGGUCUUUAAAAAGAAAACAAGGAUAGAAGACAAUAUCCUGAAGGGCUAAUGUUUCAGGUUGGCUACAAAUUUCUCAGCAAUAACAGGAUAUCAAUGCCUUGUAUUUCCACGUUAUAGUGACAUUCGACAAGCAGAAUGAAAAGACAUUAAUACACUGACUCAAUGUUUGUACACCGCUCAUAAUAUUUUC
Acanthaster planci (crown-of-thorns starfish) is the source of this 883-nucleotide long non-coding RNA. The record is from RefSeq and is a predicted model, not a curated record. Lineage: Eukaryota; Metazoa; Echinodermata; Asteroidea; Valvatida; Acanthasteridae.